CCCUUAGAUGUUCUGGGCCGCACGCGCGCUACACUGAAGGGAUCAGCGUGUUUUCCCUUUCCGAGAGGAACGGGUAACCCGCUGAACCCCCUUCGUGGUAGGGAUCGGAGCUUGCAAUUGUUCUCCGUGAACCAGGAAUUCCCAGUAAGCGCAAGUCAUAAGCUUGCGUUGAUUACGUCCCUGCCCUUUGUACACACCGCCCGUCGCUACUACCGAUUGAACGUUUUAGUGAGGUAUUUGGACUGGGCCUUGGGAGGUUUCGGCCUCCCUUGUUGCUCGGAAAGACGCCCAAACUUGAGCGUUUAGAGGAAGUAAAAGUCGUAACA
RNAcentral lists this ribosomal RNA (326 nucleotides) under uncultured eukaryote. RNAcentral describes it as "partial 18S ribosomal RNA". It matches the Rfam family "Eukaryotic small subunit ribosomal RNA", at positions 1470 to 1796 of the family's 1831-position model. The record is from RNAcentral.